This 403-nucleotide ribosomal RNA is filed under the name uncultured bacterium. Its description in RNAcentral is "partial 16S ribosomal RNA". It matches the Rfam family "Bacterial small subunit ribosomal RNA", at positions 30 to 526 of the family's 1533-position model. The record is from RNAcentral.
AUUGAACGCUGGCGGCAGGCCUAACACAUGCAAGUCGAGCGAGCGGCGGACGGGUGAGUAAUGUAUGGGGACUGCCCGUUGGAGGGGGAUAACUACUGGAAACGGUAGCUAAUACCGCAUACUAUCGGAUAACCCAUAUGGGAUUAGCUAGUAGGUGAGGUAAUGGCUCACCUAGGCGACGAGCCCUAGCUGGUCUGAGAGGAUGAUCAGCCACAUUGGGACUGAGACACGGCCCAGACUCCUACGGAGGCAGCAGUGGGGAAUAUUGCACAAUGGGCGAAAGCCUGAUGCAGCCAUGCCGCGUGUAUGAAGAAGGCCCUAGGGUUGUAAAGUACUGUCAGUCGGGAGGCGGUACCGACAGAAGAAGCACCGGCUAACUACGUGCCAGCAGCCGCGGUAAUUC